This 440-nucleotide ribosomal RNA is filed under the name uncultured bacterium. RNAcentral describes it as "partial 16S ribosomal RNA". It matches the Rfam family "Bacterial small subunit ribosomal RNA", at positions 338 to 795 of the family's 1533-position model. The record is from RNAcentral.
CCUACGGGAGGCCGCAGUGGGGAAUAUUGCACAAUGGGGGAAACCCUGAUGCAGCGACGCCGCGUGAGUGAAGAAGUAUUUCGGUACGUAAAGCUCUAUCAGCAGGGAAGAAAAUGACGGUACCUGACUAAGAAGCCCCGGCUAACUACGUGCCAGCAGCCGCGGUAAUACGUAGGGGGCAAGCGUUAUCCGGAUUUACUGGGUGUAAAGGGAGCGUAGACGGCAGCUGAAGUCUGGAGUGAAAUACCAUGGCUUAACCAUGGAACUGCUUUGGAAACUGUGCAGCUAGAGUGCAGGAGAGGUAAGCGGAAUUCCUAGUGUAGCGGUGAAAUGCGUAGAUAUUAGGAGGAACACCAGUGGCGAAGGCGGCUUACUGGACUGUAACUGACGCUGAGGCUCGAAAGCGUGGGGAGCAAACAGGAUUAGAUACCCGUGUAGUC